RNAcentral lists this small RNA (605 nucleotides) under Pan troglodytes (chimpanzee). RNAcentral describes it as "processed transcript". Lineage: Eukaryota; Metazoa; Chordata; Mammalia; Primates; Hominidae. The record is from RNAcentral.
GUGGCUACCUAAAUAGAGUAUCUGGCAAGAGUAAGAUUAAGCAGUAAUUUGUUCCAAAGAAGAAUCUUCUACCAAGCCCAGUGAGAGUCAAAGAUUCUCCAGAAGACCAUAUCUACCUGGCCAGCUGCCACCACCUCCACCCUACAGGCCAAGAUGGGUUCCACCAAGUCCCCCACCUCCCUAUGGCUCAAGACUUAAUUCACCACUUUCUCUUCUCUUUGUCCCAGGGCGAGUUCCACCAUCUUCUCUCUCUCGAUUUAGCCAAGCAGUCAUUCUAUCUCAACUCUUUCCAUUGGAAUCUAUUAGACAACCUCGACUCUUUCCGGGUUAUCCAAACCUGCAUUUCCCUCUAAGACCUUACUAUGUAGGACCUAUUAGGAUAUUAAAACCCCCAUUUCCUCCUACUCCUUUUUUUCUUGCUAUUUACCUUCCUAUCUCUAAUCCUGAGCCCCAAAUAAAUAUCACCACCGCAGAUACAACAAUCACCACAAAUCCCCCUACCACUGCAACAGCAACCACCAGCACUUCCACAAAACCCACAAUGACGGUCAGCUCCUCAACAGUACCUAUCUCUUCAACACCAGAGCCUGCCACCUCCAUAUCAG